Long non-coding RNA from Miniopterus natalensis, 890 nucleotides. RefSeq lists it as uncharacterized. Lineage: Eukaryota; Metazoa; Chordata; Mammalia; Chiroptera; Miniopteridae. The record is from RefSeq and is a predicted model, not a curated record.
CAGGCAUCUGCCCAUGACGUUUGUCCUGGUUCUAGUGGCUCCUUGGAUCUUGUCAUCUUUGAAAAUAUUUUUCUAUAAUGGGAAAAAUCUCCACUUAGAAAACAACAUGGGGUGUGCCCCACAGAGCUGAGCUGGAAUGUACAGGUGACCUAGCAUGUGAUCUCACCACUCUACCUUCUCUGCACCCAGAUGCUGCAGGGGAGCACCCUGGGGAAUCCUGCGCUGUUGGAGGAGUUGGCUGGGUCCCCAGAAACCCCUUCAGUGCCGAAGAAAAAUCAAGCAAGUCCAAGGCAGACCUGCCUUAGUGGAAGAAUUGACUGUUGAGAACCACGCGCGUGGCCUGAAAGGUGAGGACGCUGCUGGCCCGCUGGCCAUCCCCUCACUGGUAAGGGACAGUGCCUGUUGUCUGUGUGAGCACCGUUGUCAUAGCCCACAGGCACUUUGGGGUGGAGGGUGGGGCAGCGUUGGGGGAGGAGCUGGUUGGCUGACUAUGUUCAAAGACCGUUGGACAGUUAGGUGAUGGUUGGGCCGGAAUAACACUCGGAUUUAUCCAUCAGGCUGUGAAACUGAAACCCAGGCUUUUUAGACAGCCACCUACAGCGUCUGGGGUUUGUCUGAAGAAAACGACAGGAAAUUCUGGCUUCCCUCAGGCAUCAUGCACAUGAAAGGAGCUUUAGCCUUGUUAGUAAAACUGCAAAAUUCUGAUAAAGCAAAUGGUGUUGAAGGGUCUCGAGUUUCCCUCAAAGAGACUGGGCUAAUAAAUCUUAGGGGUUACGUGUCUCCCACAGAAAUAUUAACGAAAGCCACAGGGAAAGUGACCAACGCCCUUUACUCCAUCAGAAGCAAGAACCAAACACUGUUUCUUACAGUUUCACAAACUGCGAGGAACA